GGGCCAUUAGCUCAAUUGGUAGAGCAGCGGACUCUUAAUCCGUUGGCUGAUGGUUCGAGUCCAUCAUGGCCCA
RNAcentral lists this transfer RNA (73 nucleotides) under Polyangiaceae bacterium. Its description in RNAcentral is "tRNA-Lys". It matches the Rfam family "tRNA". From Rfam's summary of the family: Transfer RNA (tRNA) molecules are approximately 80 nucleotides in length. Their secondary structure includes four short double-helical elements and three loops (D, anti-codon, and T loops). Lineage: Bacteria; Pseudomonadati; Myxococcota; Polyangiales; Polyangiaceae. RNAcentral also lists the same sequence under 2 other names. The record is from RNAcentral.